This 501-nucleotide ribosomal RNA is filed under the name uncultured bacterium. Its description in RNAcentral is "bacterial SSU rRNA". It matches the Rfam family "Bacterial small subunit ribosomal RNA", at positions 24 to 518 of the family's 1533-position model. The record is from RNAcentral.
UCAGGAUGAACGCUAGCUACAGGCUUAACACAUGCAAGUCGAGGGGCAGCAUUGGAGUAGCAAUACUCAGAUGGCGACCGGCGCACGGGUGAGUAACACGUAUCCAACCUGCCGCUUACUCGGGGAUAGCCUUUCGAAAGAAAGAUUAAUACCCGAUGGUAUAAAGAGUUCGCAUGUUCUCUUUAUUAAAGAAUUUCGGUAAGCGAUGGGGAUGCGUUCCAUUAGAUAGUUGGCGGGGUAACGGCCCACCAAGUCUACGAUGGAUAGGGGUUCUGAGAGGAAGGUCCCCCACAUUGGAACUGAGACACGGUCCAAACUCCUACGGGAGGCAGCAGUGAGGAAUAUUGGUCAAUGGACGAGAGUCUGAACCAGCCAAGUAGCGUGAAGGAUGACUGCCCUAUGGGUUGUAAACUUCUUUUAUAAGGGAAUAAAGUGAGGGACGUGUCCCUUUUUGUAUGUACCUUAUGAAUAAGGAUCGGCUAACUCCGUGCCAGCAGCAGC